Molecule: non-coding RNA, 77 nt
Organism: Desulfuromonadales bacterium GWD2_54_10
Lineage: Bacteria; Pseudomonadati; Thermodesulfobacteriota; Desulfuromonadia; Desulfuromonadales
Source: Rfam
AACCGAUAAUACUAAACCAUCCGCGAGGGUGGGACGGAAAGCCCAUUGGGUCUCACUGAGACAGCCGGGUCGCCGAA